Molecule: ribosomal RNA, 253 nt
Filed under: uncultured bacterium
Lineage: Bacteria
Description: partial 16S ribosomal RNA
Rfam family: Bacterial small subunit ribosomal RNA
Source: RNAcentral
CACGGGGGGAGCAAGCGUUGUUCGGAAUCACUGGGCGUAAAGGGCGUGUAGGCGGUCAGGUAAGUGGGAUGUGAAAUCCCUCGGCUCACCCGAGGACCGGCAUCCCAAACUGCCUGGCUUGAGUAUGGGAGAGGAUGAGGGAAUUCCUGGUGUAGCGGUGAAAUGCGUAGAUAUCAGGAGGAACACCGGUGGCGAAGGCGGCGCACUGGACCACAUCUGACGCUGAGGCGCGAAAGCUAGGGGAGCAAACAGG